This 460-nucleotide long non-coding RNA is filed under the name Anser brachyrhynchus (Pink-footed goose). Its description in RNAcentral is "lncRNA (ENSABRG00000007637.1)". Lineage: Eukaryota; Metazoa; Chordata; Aves; Anseriformes; Anatidae. The record is from RNAcentral.
GAACUUCAGUCUCUUCUCUAUAAUCAGACAAACAUCAAAAUCACUGCAGUGGAUAAGAGCUUUCAGUAGAUCUAGAGCUGAAUAACACCAGUUCAUAUACCAUCAGCAUCCUACCAUCAUUUGCCUCUGCUGUUAGAAGUUCUGUUGAAGCAGCUGGAAGAAGAGGGGGGGAGGAGGAAGGAUGAAGGGCUCUCCAUUUGUAUCCUCCUCUCAAUGGACAACCAGGUUUCUACAACGUCUAUGACAACUUCUUUCACUCUAAAAUUACAAUUAUUAGAGCCAGGAAGGGGGAACAGCUUUUCGGUUUCACUAAAACUUUCAGAUUUCAAAUUCUUCCUUUCUGCACAAAGAAAAAAGCAAUGCCUUGCAGAGCUUCCAGGGAGGUAGCAGAUCUCUGGAACAGCCCACUGCUGAAGAAACUCACUAAGACUGUUCCAAUAAACACUCAUUACCAAUAUCA